Non-coding RNA from Sarcophilus harrisii (Tasmanian devil), 403 nucleotides. The record is from the annotation of a RefSeq genome assembly. Lineage: Eukaryota; Metazoa; Chordata; Mammalia; Dasyuromorphia; Dasyuridae.
UUCAGAGCUCAGGCACAUGGAGAUGGGGUCCCAGACUCAGAUGCUCUUUCUCCUGUUGCUCUGGAUCCCAGAUGCCCGAGGGGCCGUUGUGCUGACCCAGUCUCCAGCCUCCCUGGCUGCGGCUCCAGGAGAGAGAAUCACCAUGUCCUGUAAGGCCAAGCAGGGUAUUAGCAACAACCUACACUGGUACCAACAGAAAGUAGGCCAGGCCCCUCGGCUCCUCAUUACUUAUGCAACCAACCUGUAUCCAGGGGUCCCUGCCCGGUUCAGUGGCGGUGGCUCUGGAACAGAUUUCUCCCUCACAAUCAGCAACAUGGAGGCCGAGGACGCUGCAGUCUAUUACUGUCCGCAAUAUGCUAGCUAUCCUCCCACAGUGAUACAGUCCUGAACAAAAACCUGCCCA